RNAcentral lists this long non-coding RNA (746 nucleotides) under Panax ginseng (ginseng). RNAcentral's name for it is "long non-coding RNA (PGIN_LNC007585)". Lineage: Eukaryota; Viridiplantae; Streptophyta; Magnoliopsida; Apiales; Araliaceae. The record is from RNAcentral.
UCCUUAUUACACAUAUUUAACAAAUCAAUUUCAACAAUUAACAUCAAAUCAAAGGAUUUCGAAAAUUAGGGUUUUUAUACCUUUAUGCCUUGAUUUUUGAUUUUUGCUCUCCAAGUUGUUUGUGAUUGGAUUAUGGAGGAUGUGGGGCUUGAUAAAGGGACUGAUUUAGCAACAAAUUUCGUUGGUUUGAGAGAAAAUGAGAGUUGGUUGAGUAUUGAAUAAAAUUGGCUAACAAAAUCACUUUUUCUCUCUCUCAAUCCUUAUAUAGACAACAUGGAUGCAUGUAUUGGCUGAGAUUAGUAGCUUGUUGCUGUCAUUAGAAGUCAAGAGAGUUGUUGGAGUUAGUAUGAGUUGGUUAACAACUCAACCUAAAUGUCAAAACCUAAUAUUUAGCCUAAAUAAUACAACUAGGGGUAUAAUGGUCAUUUAGUUUGUAAUUUUAAGGGCAACCAUGUAAUCCUUGUAAACCCUUAGGGUUUAGGGUUUGAGCCAAGUUAGCAAAAUUCUAGGAUUUCCAAAAUUAGGAUUUAGCAACUAGGGUUUAUAAAGAAAAUAAAAUUAUUUUAGUUUCUAAAAUUUUGAAAAUAAUAACUUUGUUAAUUAAAGUAAGUUUGUAAUGACCUUAUACAUGGAUAUUAGGGUUUAUUACCCUUAAUCAUAAUUAACUUUGCUAAUAAAGCAAUUAGGGUUUAUAAUACCAAAAAUUAGGGUUUCCAUAAUAUAAUUAGGGUUUCUAGAAAUUAAUU